CCCCUGCAGGGCCCCCCCACCCCGAAUCAGGGAGACACCCCCACCUCGCCCCUGCAGGUGCACGCGGCCCCAGGAACCCCUCUCCUUCUCCACGCAUUUCGUUUGCAGGAUGACGGCAUCACUGAUGAGUGUUGGCUUCUAGAACAUCAGUGUCCUGAGGACAGGAAUGUCUGCCUGUUCCCGACACUGCCGUGUCCCCUGCACCUAGUACAGGGCCUGGCCCAUAGCAGCAAAUGCUUACUGAGCCAACUGCUCACUACUCUGGGGACAGAGCAUGACUGACACAGACGUGAUUCCUGCCCUUGAGGCGCUGACUUUCUGGUCACUGCAAACAAGUGUGAUGUCAGGAUCUGGGGAUACCGGAGUGAACAAGACAGGCAAAGACCUUUAUCUUCCCGGAGCUGACAUUCUGUCAUGGGACACAGCCAUCAGACAACAG
Molecule: long non-coding RNA, 439 nt
Organism: Hyaena hyaena (striped hyena)
Lineage: Eukaryota; Metazoa; Chordata; Mammalia; Carnivora; Hyaenidae
Exons: 3
Source: RefSeq, a predicted model, not a curated record